CCACUCACUGAUUGUGAAGUGGUCUUGUAUAUCCUGGUUGGACUGAGCUCGGAGUAUGAUUCUUUUGUCACAAUUGUGACCACACGAAUUGAUCCCAUAUUGCUUGAAGAUCUCUAUGGUCAUCUUCUGACCUUUGAGU
Molecule: small nucleolar RNA, 139 nt
Organism: Alnus glutinosa
Lineage: Eukaryota; Viridiplantae; Streptophyta; Magnoliopsida; Fagales; Betulaceae
Product: small nucleolar RNA Z247
Exons: 1
Source: RefSeq, a predicted model, not a curated record